GGGGGUGUGGCAGAGCGGACGAAUGCGCUGGUCUUGAAAACCAGAGGCCGUAAAACGCCCAUAGGUUCGAAUCCUAUCGCCCCCG
This 85-nucleotide transfer RNA is filed under the name Rubrobacter sp. RNAcentral describes it as "tRNA-Ser". It matches the Rfam family "tRNA". From Rfam's summary of the family: Transfer RNA (tRNA) molecules are approximately 80 nucleotides in length. The record is from RNAcentral. Lineage: Bacteria; Bacillati; Actinomycetota; Rubrobacteria; Rubrobacterales; Rubrobacteraceae.